AACGAACGCUGGCGGCAUGCCUAACACAUGCAAGUCGAACGAGAUCCUUCGGGGUCUAGUGGCGCACGGGUGCGUAACGCGUGGGAAUCUGCCCUUAGGUUCGGAAUAACAGUUAGAAAUGACUGCUAAUACCGGAUGAUGACGUUAAGUCCAAAGAUUUAUCGCCUGAGGAUGAGCCCGCGUAGGAUUAGCUAGUUGGUGUGGUAAAGGCGCACCAAGGCGACGAUCCGUAGCUGGUCUGAGAGGAUGAUCAGCCACACUGGGACUGAGACACGGCCCAGACUCCUACGGGAGGCAGCAGUGGGGAAUAUUGGACAAUGGGCGCAAGCCUGAUCCAGCAAUGCCGCGUGAGUGAUGAAGGCCUUAGGGUUGUAAAGCUCUUUUACCCGAGAUGAUAAUGACAGUAUCGGGAGAAUAAGCCCCGGCUAACUCCGUG
This 436-nucleotide ribosomal RNA is filed under the name uncultured bacterium. RNAcentral describes it as "partial 16S ribosomal RNA". It matches the Rfam family "Bacterial small subunit ribosomal RNA", at positions 29 to 507 of the family's 1533-position model. The record is from RNAcentral.